GUGGGGAAUAUUGCACAAUGGAGGAAACUCUGAUGCAGCGACGCCGCGUGAGCGAUGAAGUAUUUCGGUAUGUAAAGCUCUAUCAGCAGGGAAGAUAAUGACGGUACCUGACUAAGAAGCACCGGCUAAAUACGUGCCAGCAGCCGCGGUAAUACGUAUGGUGCAAGCGUUAUCCGGAUUUACUGGGUGUAAAGGGAGCGUAGGCGGCCUCGCAAGUCUGAAGUGAAAACCCAAGGCUCAACCAUGGGAUUGCUUUGGAAACUGCGUGGCUAGAGUGUCGGAGAGGCAAGUGGAAUUCCUAGUGUAGCGGUGAAAUGCGUAGAUAUUAGGAGGAACACCAGUGGCGAAGGCGGCUUGCUGGACGAUUACUGACGCUGAUGCUCGAAAGCGUGGGGAGCAAACAGG
RNAcentral lists this ribosomal RNA (405 nucleotides) under uncultured rumen bacterium. RNAcentral describes it as "bacterial SSU rRNA". It matches the Rfam family "Bacterial small subunit ribosomal RNA", at positions 354 to 776 of the family's 1533-position model. The record is from RNAcentral.